Molecule: small nuclear RNA, 136 nt
Filed under: Panthera leo (lion)
Lineage: Eukaryota; Metazoa; Chordata; Mammalia; Carnivora; Felidae
Description: U4 spliceosomal RNA (ENSPLOG00000021714.1)
Rfam family: U4 spliceosomal RNA
About the family: U4 small nuclear RNA (U4 snRNA) is a component of the major U2-dependent spliceosome. The structure of U4 snRNA from yeast and human has been reported. U4 snRNA presents a k-turn RNA motif in the 5p-SL related to recognition of Snu13 protein.
Source: Rfam by way of RNAcentral
AGCUUUGCGCAGUGGCAGUAUCGUAGCCAAUGAGGUUUAUCCGAGGCGCGAUUAUUGCUAAUUGAAAACUAACAAUCUGUGGAUUGUGGUUUUGACCAUUUAGUAAAUAAUGAAUCUUAAAACUAUUUUACAGGAU